GACGUAGGGUGCGAGCGUUGUCCGGAAUUAUUGGGCGUAAAGAGCUCGUAGGCGGUUUGUUGCGUCGGCUGUGAAAACUCGGGGCUUAACUCUGAGCUUGCAGUCGAUACGGGCAGACUUGAGUUCGGCAGGGGAGACUGGAAUUCCUGGUGUAGCGGUGAAAUGCGCAGAUAUCAGGAGGAACACCGGUGGCGAAGGCGGGUCUCUGGGCCGAUACUGACGCUGAGGAGCGAAAGCGUGGGGAGCGAACAGG
RNAcentral lists this ribosomal RNA (253 nucleotides) under uncultured Crossiella sp. Its description in RNAcentral is "partial 16S ribosomal RNA". It matches the Rfam family "Bacterial small subunit ribosomal RNA", at positions 524 to 776 of the family's 1533-position model. The record is from RNAcentral. Lineage: Bacteria; Bacillati; Actinomycetota; Actinomycetes; Pseudonocardiales; Pseudonocardiaceae.